This 74-nucleotide transfer RNA is filed under the name Gemmatimonas sp. It matches the Rfam family "tRNA". From Rfam's summary of the family: Transfer RNA (tRNA) molecules are approximately 80 nucleotides in length. Their secondary structure includes four short double-helical elements and three loops (D, anti-codon, and T loops). Further hydrogen bonds mediate the characteristic L-shaped molecular structure. tRNAs have two regions of fundamental functional importance: the anti-codon, which is responsible for specific mRNA codon recognition, and the 3' end, to which the tRNAs corresponding amino acid is attached (by aminoacyl-tRNA synthetases). tRNAs cope with the degeneracy of the genetic code in two manners: having more than one tRNA (with a specific anti-codon) for a particular amino acid; and 'wobble' base-pairing, i.e. permitting non-standard base-pairing at the 3rd anti-codon position. The record is from Rfam by way of RNAcentral. Lineage: Bacteria; Pseudomonadati; Gemmatimonadota; Gemmatimonadia; Gemmatimonadales; Gemmatimonadaceae.
GGGCCCAUAGCUCAGUCGGUUAGAGCAGCGGACUCAUAAUCCGCCGGUCCCAGGUUCGAGUCCUGGUGGGCCCA